RNAcentral lists this long non-coding RNA (455 nucleotides) under Apteryx rowi (Okarito brown kiwi). RNAcentral describes it as "lncRNA (ENSARWG00000016742.1)". The record is from RNAcentral. Lineage: Eukaryota; Metazoa; Chordata; Aves; Apterygiformes; Apterygidae.
AGCGGGAGAGCGGGCGGGCCUGAGGGAGCGAUAAAGCGGCCGCUAUUUGGUGGCGCGCCUCCCCUCGGAGCCCCCCCUUUCCCUUUCCCCUCCCCCUCCCCUCCCUUCCCCCUUCUCCCUUCUCCUCGCCUCCCCCCCUCCCCCCCCUCCUCCUCCCCGCCCCGCCGCGCGGCCCGAGUCCGCCAGCGCUCCCAGCCCGGCCUGCCGCCGUCACCGCCAUUGGAGGGGGAGCGCCGAGGGGGUGCGCCGAGCCCCUCCCCCGGCCCGGCGCCCGGCGGCCAUCGAGGAGGUGCCUCAACGCCACUCUGAAAUGUGUGCGGAGGAGACCAGUACAUGAAAUCAGGGCCAGAGGAGAGGAAGCGCCGUCGGCCCGAGGGAGCAGGUCCCCGCUGAUCCCCGACGAGGGUGCUGUACUCCAGGAUAAGCGACCUGUGCCAUUCCUCACAACAAAAUGA